AUUGAACGCUGGCGGCAGGCCUAACACAUGCAAGUCGAGCGGAUGAAGGGAGCUUGCUCCUGGAUUCAGCGGCGGACGGGUGAGUAAUGCCUAGGAAUCUGCCUGGUAGUGGGGGAUAACGUCCGGAAACGGGCGCUAAUACCGCACACGUCCUGAGGGAGAAAGUGGGGGAUCUUCGGACCUCACGCUAUCAGAUGAGCCUAGGUCGGAUUAGCUAGUUGGUGGGGUAAAGGCCUACCAAGGCGACGAUCCGUAACUGGUCUGAGAGGAUGAUCAGUCACACUGGAACUGAGACACGGUCCAGACUCCUACGGGAGGCAGCAGUGGGGAAUAUUGGACAAUGGGCGAAAGCCUGAUCCAGCCAUGCCGCGUGUGUGAAGAAGGUCUUCGGAUUGUAAAGCACUUUAAGUUGGGAGGAAGGGCAGUAAGUUAAUACCUUGCUGUUUUGACGUUACCAACAGAAUAAGCACCGGCUAACUUCAUG
This 484-nucleotide ribosomal RNA is filed under the name uncultured bacterium. Its description in RNAcentral is "partial 16S ribosomal RNA". It matches the Rfam family "Bacterial small subunit ribosomal RNA", at positions 30 to 507 of the family's 1533-position model. The record is from RNAcentral.